Molecule: ribosomal RNA, 278 nt
Filed under: uncultured bacterium
Lineage: Bacteria
Description: partial 16S ribosomal RNA
Rfam family: Bacterial small subunit ribosomal RNA
Source: RNAcentral
GCGCCUAACACAUGCAAGUCGCACGAGAAAGCGGGAGCAAUCUCGCAAGUAAAGUGGCGUACGGGUGAGUAACACGUGGAUUAUCUACCCUGGAGUGGGGAAUAACGCUGGGAAACCGGCGCUAAUACCGCAUAUUCCCGAGAGGGGAAAGCAGCAAUGCGCUCGAGGAGGAGUCCGCGGCCGAUUAGCUAGUUGGCAGGCUAAAAGCCUACCAAGGCUGUGAUCGGUAGCCGGCCUGAGAGGGCACACGGCCACACUGGCACUGAAACACGGGCCAG